CGGCACAUUGCAUUGACUUGCUCUGUAUCUUGCUGAGCAGCGUUAUUUCUGAUGUGCUAGAGCAAAAUGAAGGCUAAUUAGCAGUGUAACGAAUCACACGUGGUUACCGCUGCCAGUCUCCUUCAUACAUGU
Small nucleolar RNA from Pseudophryne corroboree (corroboree frog), 132 nucleotides. Lineage: Eukaryota; Metazoa; Chordata; Amphibia; Anura; Myobatrachidae. The record is from RefSeq and is a predicted model, not a curated record.